RNAcentral lists this ribosomal RNA (253 nucleotides) under uncultured bacterium. RNAcentral's name for it is "partial 16S ribosomal RNA". It matches the Rfam family "Bacterial small subunit ribosomal RNA", at positions 524 to 776 of the family's 1533-position model. The record is from RNAcentral.
UACGUAGGGUGCAAGCGUUGUCCGGAAUUAUUGGGCGUAAAGAGCUCGUAGGCGGUUUGUCGCGUCGAAUGUGAAAACCCGGGGCUCAACCCCGGGCCUGCAUUCGAUACGGGCAGACUAGAGUUCGGUAGGGGAGUCUGGAAUUCCUGGUGUAGCGGUGGAAUGCGUAGAGAUCGGGAAGAACAUCUGUGGCGAAGGCGGCCAGCUGGGCUGUUGCUGACGCUGAUGCGCGACAGCGUGGGAAGCAAACAGG